UGGGGACUGAUCCUGCACCGCUGAAGUCAGCGGAAGCUUUGCACUGACUUCAAUUGGAGCAAGAUUGAGCUCUCA
Molecule: microRNA precursor, 75 nt
Filed under: Pelodiscus sinensis (Chinese soft-shelled turtle)
Lineage: Eukaryota; Metazoa; Chordata; Testudines; Trionychidae
Description: miRNA (ENSPSIG00000019392.1)
Source: RNAcentral